GGGUUGUGAGGUUAAGCGACUAAGCGUACACGGUGGAUGCCCUGGCAGUCAGAGGCGAUGAAGGACGUGCUAAUCUGCGAUAAGCGUCGGUGAGGUGAUAUGAACCGUUAUAACCGGCGAUUUCCGAAUGGGGAAACCCAGUGUGUUUCGACACACUAUCAUUAACUGAAUCCAUAGGUUAAUGAGGCGAACCGGGGGAACUGAAACAUCUAAGUACCCCGAGGAAAAGAAAUCAACCGAGAUUCCCCCAGUAGCGGCGAGCGAACGGGGAGGAGCCCAGAGCCUGAAUCAGUGUGUGUGUUAGUGGAAGCGUCUGGAAAGGCGCGCGAUACAGGGUGACAGCCCCGUACACAAAAAUGCACAUAUUGUGAGCUCGAUGAGUAGGGCGGGACACGUGGUAUCCUGUCUGAAUAUGGGGGGACCAUCCUCCAAGGCUAAAUACUCCUGACUGACCGAUAGUGAACCAGUACCGUGAGGGAAAGGCGAAAAGAACCCCGGCGAGGGGAGUGAAAAAGAACCUGAAACCGUGUACGUACAAGCAGUGGGAGCCUCUUAAUGGGGUGACUGCGUACCUUUUGUAUAAUGGGUCAGCGACUUAUAUUCUGUAGCAAGGUUAACCGAAUAGGGGAGCCGAAGGGAAACCGAGUCUUAACUGGGCGUUAAGUUGCAGGGUAUAGACCCGAAACCCGGUGAUCUAGCCAUGGGCAGGUUGAAGGUUGGGUAACACUAACUGGAGGACCGAACCGACUAAUGUUGAAAAAUUAGCGGAUGACUUGUGGCUGGGGGUGAAAGGCCAAUCAAACCGGGAGAUAGCUGGUUCUCCCCGAAAGCUAUUUAGGUAGCGCCUCGUGAAUUCAUCUCCGGGGGUAGAGCACUGUUUCGGCAAGGGGGUCAUCCCGACUUACCAACCCGAUGCAAACUGCGAAUACCGGAGAAUGUUAUCACGGGAGACACACGGCGGGUGCUAACGUCCGUCGUGAAGAGGGAAACAACCCAGACCGCCAGCUAAGGUCCCAAAGUCAUGGUUAAGUGGGAAACGAUGUGGGAAGGCCCAGACAGCCAGGAUGUUGGCUUAGAAGCAGCCAUCAUUUAAAGAAAGCGUAAUAGCUCACUGGUCGAGUCGGCCUGCGCGGAAGAUGUAACGGGGCUAAACCAUGCACCGAAGCUGCGGCAGCGACACUAUGUGUUGUUGGGUAGGGGAGCGUUCUGUAAGCCUGUGAAGGUGGCCUGUGAGGGUUGCUGGAGGUAUCAGAAGUGCGAAUGCUGACAUAAGUAACGAUAAAGCGGGUGAAAAGCCCGCUCGCCGGAAGACCAAGGGUUCCUGUCCAACGUUAAUCGGGGCAGGGUGAGUCGACCCCUAAGGCGAGGCCGAAAGGCGUAGUCGAUGGGAAACAGGUUAAUAUUCCUGUACUUGGUGUUACUGCGAAGGGGGGACGGAGAAGGCUAUGUUGGCCGGGCGACGGUUGUCCCGGUUUAAGCGUGUAGGCUGGUUUUCCAGGCAAAUCCGGAAAACCAAGGCUGAGGCGUGAUGACGAGGCACUACGGUGCUGAAGCGACAAAUGCCCUGCUUCCAGGAAAAGCCUCUAAGCAUCAGGUAACAUCAAAUCGUACCCCAAACCGACACAGGUGGUCAGGUAGAGAAUACCAAGGCGCUUGAGAGAACUCGGGUGAAGGAACUAGGCAAAAUGGUGCCGUAACUUCGGGAGAAGGCACGCUGAUAUGUAGGUGAAGCGACUUGCUCGUGGAGCUGAAAUCAGUCGAAGAUACCAGCUGGCUGCAACUGUUUAUUAAAAACACAGCACUGUGCAAACACGAAAGUGGACGUAUACGGUGUGACGCCUGCCCGGUGCCGGAAGGUUAAUUGAUGGGGUUAGCGGUAACGCGAAGCUCUUGAUCGAAGCCCCGGUAAACGGCGGCCGUAACUAUAACGGUCCUAAGGUAGCGAAAUUCCUUGUCGGGUAAGUUCCGACCUGCACGAAUGGCGUAAUGAUGGCCAGGCUGUCUCCACCCGAGACUCAGUGAAAUUGAACUCGCUGUGAAGAUGCAGUGUACCCGCGGCAAGACGGAAAGACCCCGUGAACCUUUACUAUAGCUUGACACUGAACAUUGAGCCUUGAUGUGUAGGAUAGGUGGGAGGCUUUGAAGUG
Molecule: ribosomal RNA, 2147 nt
Filed under: Escherichia coli
Lineage: Bacteria; Pseudomonadati; Pseudomonadota; Gammaproteobacteria; Enterobacterales; Enterobacteriaceae
Description: partial 23S ribosomal RNA
Rfam family: Bacterial large subunit ribosomal RNA
Source: RNAcentral